GGUUCAUUCACUCAGAUGGUAGAGCAACGGAUUUUUAAUCCGUGGGUCCGGAGUUCGAAUCUCCGAUGGGUCA
Molecule: transfer RNA, 73 nt
Filed under: Caudoviricetes sp.
Lineage: Duplodnaviria; Heunggongvirae; Uroviricota; Caudoviricetes
Description: tRNA-Lys
Rfam family: tRNA
About the family: Transfer RNA (tRNA) molecules are approximately 80 nucleotides in length. Their secondary structure includes four short double-helical elements and three loops (D, anti-codon, and T loops). Further hydrogen bonds mediate the characteristic L-shaped molecular structure. tRNAs have two regions of fundamental functional importance: the anti-codon, which is responsible for specific mRNA codon recognition, and the 3' end, to which the tRNAs corresponding amino acid is attached (by aminoacyl-tRNA synthetases). tRNAs cope with the degeneracy of the genetic code in two manners: having more than one tRNA (with a specific anti-codon) for a particular amino acid; and 'wobble' base-pairing, i.e. permitting non-standard base-pairing at the 3rd anti-codon position.
Source: RNAcentral